ACUUUAUGCAGAUUAAUGGCUUGGAACAAGAUUUCCACACGCAAAGAUGCAAAACAAAGAGGAGAGAAAAUUUCGAGUGGAAAUUGUUACGUAAAACGUUGAUUGAAAAGUUUUGGAUGCACAUUUCAUCAAAACUAACGGUUAGAUUGGGCGAUGGAAAAUGCCCAUAUAAGGUAAUGUUUUCAUCUUGGACGGUCAGUGACAAUACAUCUGACGCAUAAGCACAUUAUUUGCGAUAAGAUCAUGGCUAUGUAAAUAAUUUAAGAUCUGCCAACAAAGCGUUUCCUUUGUUACGAUCGAAACCACUGGCUAAGCACAUUCUUGGACGCACACGUAAUACAAAAACAGGAAACUGAAAGCGAUUACUAAGCACCUUUGGCCUAUGAUAACAAAGAAUUCAUUCACGUUAUGCAAGUUUUCCCACGAUAUACAUGGCGCCAGCGAUUCAACCUAGUGCAUCGUUGACAGGCGAUUGAAAACCUUUCUGUGACAGGUGCAUGUGAGGAGAAAAUACAAGAUAAUCAAAACGGCGCUAACAGCUCUAUUUGAAACCAUUUCAAGGAAAAUAAACUAUCUAGAAGAGAACAUUAUCAAGAUUUAAGUCUUGGAAAUCGAUAGUAUACGCCAAGUUGGUCAAAGUGAAAGGAAAUUUUUGUGCGUGCAGGUAUGCCAAGUCGGUAGUCUUUUGAUUGAAACGAAUAUUGGAGGAAACGAGUAACACUCGAGCGUGGCCCACGCGGAGAAAUUUUCCGCGUGUGCCGUUCAGACUUUGAACCAUACUUUCAGAUGAACCAAAAUUCGAUUUAUAUGAAUUUGUUGAAAGUCUGUCCGAUGUAAGUACUGUGUCAUUUUGUGUAAUUUGGUUUUACUAACGUUACUGGAGUUGCAAAAGCUGAGGCGAGAGGUUUCCAUACUCUGGUCUAAAUGUGUUUAUCGAGGCACUGGUAUAACUCACGCUAUAAGUUUCUUAAAAAUGGAAUUACGGAGGGAACAUCACCGUUCAUAUCCUCUCUUACAGUUGGGAUAAUCAUGUACUUAAAGCUGAGAAAUAUUUACAUGCUUUCUAUAUCUCUUUGUAGCUCGGGGGAUGCUGUAAACGAUCAACAUAAAUCCUUUAUGAUCAAGAAUACCACGCUGACAAUGGAUUUAUACUCGAGAGGCCUGUCAAAAGAUAUGGUGUAGAAAAACUCCGAGUUUUGGCCUCGCAAGGUGGUGUUAUCAAAAUCACAAGGGACGC
Molecule: long non-coding RNA, 1237 nt
Organism: Pocillopora damicornis (cauliflower coral)
Lineage: Eukaryota; Metazoa; Cnidaria; Anthozoa; Scleractinia; Pocilloporidae
Source: RefSeq, a predicted model, not a curated record